Molecule: ribosomal RNA, 433 nt
Filed under: uncultured Oscillospiraceae bacterium
Lineage: Bacteria; Bacillati; Bacillota; Clostridia; Eubacteriales; Oscillospiraceae
Description: partial 16S ribosomal RNA
Rfam family: Bacterial small subunit ribosomal RNA
Source: RNAcentral
ACGGAAGGCAGCAGUGGGGAAUAUUGGGCAAUGGGCGAAAGCCUGACCCAGCAACGCCGCGUGAGGGAAGAAGGUCUUCGGAUUGUAACCUUUGUCUUAUGGGACGAUAAUGACGGUACCAUAGGAGGAAGCCACGACUAACUACGUGCCAGCAGUCGCGGUAAUACGUAGGUGGCGAGCGUUAUCCGGAAUUAUUGGGUGUAAAGGGUGCGUAGGCGGGAUGUAAAGUCAGAUGUGAAAUACCGCGGCUUAACUGCGGGGCUGCAUUUGAAACUUAUGUUCUUGAGUGCGGUAGAGGUAAGUGGAAUUCCCAGUGUAGCGGUGAAAUGCGUAGAUAUUGGGAGGAACACCAGUGGCGAAGGCGACUUACUGGGCCGUUACUGACGCUGAGGCACGAAAGUGUGGGGAGCAAACAGGAUUAGAUACCCUGGUA